RNAcentral lists this non-coding RNA (724 nucleotides) under Polylabroides guangdongensis. The record is from RNAcentral. Lineage: Eukaryota; Metazoa; Platyhelminthes; Monogenea; Mazocraeidea; Microcotylidae.
AUAAAUUUUAUUCUGGUUUAUAAUAGAGUUACUGUUAACACUCUCAUGAAAAAAGAAUUUAAAUGUAGUAUUAAUAGUAUUAAGUUUAACUUAUUAUUAGAGAGGAGAACUAAAUCAAUUAUAUAAUAAAAUUGGUUAUCAGUAGUUAUUAAAGGUAAAGACUCAGUGCCAGCAUUCGCGGUUAAACUGACUAUUAAUAGUCUUUUUUUAGGUUAAAAUUUUUAAUUAGUUAAUAACAAUCUUGAAUUAAAAUUUGUAAGAUUUAUAUUAAACGUAACUAUUUUAUUAAAGCUAUGAUGUUUAAACAUGGAUUAGAGACCCAUUUAUAAAUAGUUAAAAUUUGUUUCCCUAGUCAAACUAAAAGAAAUUGGCAGUUACUUAUAUUCGUUUAGGGGAGUGUGUAGUUUAAAAGAUGAUCCGCUUAUUAUUUUACCAUAUUAAUUUUAGUUAGUGUAUAUCCGGUUUAAUAUGAUGGUGUAGAGACUCUCAUGAUUAUCAAAAAUUAUAAGCCAGGUCAAUGUGCUGUUUAUAGUAUGGUCACUAUUCGCUACUUUUAUAAUAUAUUAUUUUAAAAUUAAUUUAUUUGGGACUUAACAGUAAAAAAUAGACAACUAGCUUUUUUGAAAAUUUGAUUUGGGUAGUGUACACAUCGCCCGUCAACUUCGAUGAGAAUUGAAGUAAGUCGUAACAUGGUAGUUGUAGGGGAACCUGCAGCUAUAUAAUU